Molecule: ribosomal RNA, 775 nt
Filed under: uncultured Neocallimastigales
Lineage: Eukaryota; Fungi; Neocallimastigomycota; Neocallimastigomycetes; Neocallimastigales
Description: partial large subunit ribosomal RNA
Rfam family: Eukaryotic large subunit ribosomal RNA
Source: RNAcentral
CGUCUAUAUACGUAUAGCAUAUCAAUAAGCGGAGGAAAAGAAACUAACAAGGAUUCCCUUAGUAGCGGCGAGUGAAGCGGGAAGAGCUCAAAUUUGAAAUCUUCAAGGUUCUACCUUGACGAAUUGUAGUUUAAAGAAGUGUUUUCUGUUAGUGGAGUGGCAAAAGUUCUUUGGAAUAGGACAUCAUAGAGGGUGAGAAUCCCGUAUUUGGUCAUUCCUCCUAGCGUUGUGAUACACUUUCAACGAGUCGGAUUGUUUGGGAAUGCAGUCCAAAAUGGGUGGUAAAUUUCAUCUAAAGCUAAAUAUUGGCGAGAGACCGAUAGCGAACAAGUACCGUGAGGGAAAGAUGAAAAGAACUUUGAAAAGAGAGUUAAACAGUACGUGAAAUUGUCAAAAGGGAAGCGUUUGACACCAGUGUUGUUUUUCCGAAAAUCAAUUACGAAUGUUUUGUUUUUGAGGAGUUAUGACUUCAUCGGCUUGCUUCUUUCUUUACGAAACUUUCUUAAUGCACUUUUCGGUUAACAAGUCAACAUCAAUUUCUUUUGUUGUAAAAGGGUAUGAGGAAGGUGGCUUUCUUUUCGGAGAAAGUGUUUAUAGCCUUGUGCCUCUACAAUCGGAGAGAUUGAGGUCUGCAGCGUAGAUCCUUCGGGGUUAGAUACGUUUGUGCUAAGUUAUAGCUUUUCAUAGACAGCUUGUUGACUAUGAUUAGUCAUUGUAGCUUACUCGCUUACGCUAUUUUACCUACGCUUAGGAUGUUGACUGAUAUGUAGUCGUA